UAAGUCAGAAUCCGUGCUAGAAACGAUGAUGUUGGUGUCGCACAUUAGACUUGGGUUUAAAUAGAGCUUUGCUCGUGAACCAAAUAUGGUGGGCUGGGUUGUCUUUGCGGAAACGCUUAGGCGACUUGUCUACGAAUUGUAAUCAUAAUAUGGGCGGCGGUGAAUCCUUUGCAGACGACUUGAAUGGGAACGGGGUACUGUAAGUGGUAGAGUAGCCUUGUUGCUACGAUCCACUGAGGUUAAGCCCUUGUUCUAAAGAUUUGUUC
RNAcentral lists this ribosomal RNA (266 nucleotides) under Armillaria ostoyae. RNAcentral's name for it is "partial 26S ribosomal RNA". It matches the Rfam family "Eukaryotic large subunit ribosomal RNA", at positions 3131 to 3401 of the family's 3401-position model. The record is from RNAcentral. Lineage: Eukaryota; Fungi; Basidiomycota; Agaricomycetes; Agaricales; Physalacriaceae.